Molecule: ribosomal RNA, 499 nt
Filed under: uncultured bacterium
Lineage: Bacteria
Description: bacterial SSU rRNA
Rfam family: Bacterial small subunit ribosomal RNA
Source: RNAcentral
UCAGGAUGAACGCUAGCGGCAGGCUUAACACAUGCAAGUCAGGGGCAGCGAGAUGUAGCAAUACAUUGUCGGCGACCGGCGCACGGGUGCGUAACGCGUAUGCAACCUACCAUAUACAGGAGGAUAACCAUUCGAAAGAAUGACUAAUACUCCAUAGUAUAUUUUGAGGCAUCUUAGAAUAAUUAAAGAAUUUCGGUAUAUGCUGGGCAUGCGUGACAUUAGCUAGUUGGAGAGGUAACGGCUCACCAAGGCUACGAUGUCUAGGGGUUUUGAGAGGAAGAUCCCCCACACUGGUACUGAGACACGGACCAGACUCCUACGGGAGGCAGCAGUGAGGAAUAUUGGUCAAUGGACGGAAGUCUGAACCAGCCAUGCCGCGUUGAAGGAAGACUGCCCUAUGGGUUGUAAACUUCUUUUAUACGGGGAUAAACCUAUCUUUGCGAAGAUAGCUGAAGGUACCGUAUGAAUAAGCAUCGGCUAACUCCGUGCCAGCCGCGGC